UGCCGUGGGUGUACGAGACUUGAGAGGAUCUGUCCCUAGUACGAGAGGACCGGGAUGGACGUAUCUCUGGUGGACCUGUUGUCGUGCCAACGGCAUAGCAGGGUAGCUAUAUACGGACGGGAUAACCGCUGAAGGCAUCUAAGCGGGAAACCCACCUAAAAACGAGUAUUCCCUAUCAGAGCCGUGGAAGACUACCACGUUGAUAGGCCGGGUGUGGAAGUGCGGCAACGCAUGUAGCUUACCGGUACUAAUAGCUCGAUCGACUUGAUCAC
This 272-nucleotide ribosomal RNA is filed under the name Thalassospira sp. RNAcentral describes it as "partial 23S ribosomal RNA". It matches the Rfam family "Bacterial large subunit ribosomal RNA", at positions 2643 to 2925 of the family's 2925-position model. The record is from RNAcentral. Lineage: Bacteria; Pseudomonadati; Pseudomonadota; Alphaproteobacteria; Rhodospirillales; Thalassospiraceae.